RNAcentral lists this ribosomal RNA (1530 nucleotides) under Bacteroides fragilis. Its description in RNAcentral is "bacterial SSU rRNA". It matches the Rfam family "Bacterial small subunit ribosomal RNA". Lineage: Bacteria; Pseudomonadati; Bacteroidota; Bacteroidia; Bacteroidales; Bacteroidaceae. The record is from RNAcentral.
ACAAUGAAGAGUUUGAUCCUGGCUCAGGAUGAACGCUAGCUACAGGCUUAACACAUGCAAGUCGAGGGGCAUCAGGAAGAAAGCUUGCUUUCUUUGCUGGCGACCGGCGCACGGGUGAGUAACACGUAUCCAACCUGCCCUUUACUCGGGGAUAGCCUUUCGAAAGAAAGAUUAAUACCCGAUAGCAUAAUGAUUCCGCAUGGUUUCAUUAUUAAAGGAUUCCGGUAAAGGAUGGGGAUGCGUUCCAUUAGGUUGUUGGUGAGGUAACGGCCCACCAAGCCUUCGAUGGAUAGGGGUUCUGAGAGGAAGGUCCCCCACAUUGGAACUGAGACACGGUCCAAACUCCUACGGGAGGCAGCAGUGAGGAAUAUUGGUCAAUGGGCGCUAGCCUGAACCAGCCAAGUAGCGUGAAGGAUGAAGGCUCUAUGGGUCGUAAACUUCUUUUAUAUAAGAAUAAAGUGCAGUAUGUAUACUGUUUUGUAUGUAUUAUAUGAAUAAGGAUCGGCUAACUCCGUGCCAGCAGCCGCGGUAAUACGGAGGAUCCGAGCGUUAUCCGGAUUUAUUGGGUUUAAAGGGAGCGUAGGUGGACUGGUAAGUCAGUUGUGAAAGUUUGCGGCUCAACCGUAAAAUUGCAGUUGAUACUGUCAGUCUUGAGUACAGUAGAGGUGGGCGGAAUUCGUGGUGUAGCGGUGAAAUGCUUAGAUAUCACGAAGAACUCCGAUUGCGAAGGCAGCUCACUGGACUGCAACUGACACUGAUGCUCGAAAGUGUGGGUAUCAAACAGGAUUAGAUACCCUGGUAGUCCACACAGUAAACGAUGAAUACUCGCUGUUUGCGAUAUACAGUAAGCGGCCAAGCGAAAGCAUUAAGUAUUCCACUUGUAGGAGUACGCCGGCAACGGUGAAACUCAAAGGAAUUGACGGGGGCCCGCACAAGCGGAGGAACAUGUGGUUUAAUUCGAUGAUACGCGAGGAACCUUACCCGGGCUUAAAUUGCAGUGGAAUGAUGUGGAAACAUGUCAGUGAGCAAUCACCGCUGUGAAGGUGCUGCAUGGUUGUCGUCAGCUCGUGCCGUGAGGUGUCGGCUUAAGUGCCAUAACGAGCGCAACCCUUAUCUUUAGUUACUAACAGGUUAUGCUGAGGACUCUAGAGAGACUGCCGUCGUAAGAUGUGAGGAAGGUGGGGAUGACGUCAAAUCAGCACGGCCCUUACGUCCGGGGCUACACACGUGUUACAAUGGGGGGUACAGAAGGCAGCUAGCGGGUGACCGUAUGCUAAUCCCAAAAGCCUCUCUCAGUUCGGAUCGAAGUCUGCAACCCGACUUCGUGAAGCUGGAUUCGCUAGUAAUCGCGCAUCAGCCACGGCGCGGUGAAUACGUUCCCGGGCCUUGUACACACCGCCCGUCAAGCCAUGGGAGCCGGGGGUACCUGAAGUACGUAACCGCAAGGAUCGUCCUAGGGUAAAACUGGUGACUGGGGCUAAGUCGUAACAAGGUAGCCGUACCGGAAGGUGCGGCUGGAACACCUCCUUU